CAGUAGCCACGGGAAUACGUGGGGUGCAAGCGUUAAUCGGAAUUACUGGGCGUAAAGCGUGCGCAGGCGGUGUUGUAAGACUGAUGUGAAAUCCCCGGGCUCAACCUGGGAACUGCAUUGGUGACUGCAGCGCUGGAGUGCGGCAGAGGGGGAUGGAAUUCCGCGUGUAGCAGUGAAAUGCGUAGAUAUGCGGAGGAACACCGAUGGCGGAGGCAAUCCCCUGGGCCUGCACUGACGCUCAUGCACGAAAGCGUGGGGAGCAAACAGGAUUAGAUACCCGCGUAGUCCCUGUCUCUUAUAC
This 301-nucleotide ribosomal RNA is filed under the name uncultured bacterium. RNAcentral describes it as "partial 16S ribosomal RNA". It matches the Rfam family "Bacterial small subunit ribosomal RNA", at positions 509 to 807 of the family's 1533-position model. The record is from RNAcentral.